UAAUCCCGGAUAUGACCACAGCACGCAUGUGUUGUGGUGGAAAGAUUUAUCGGUGCAGGAUGGGCCCGCGGCCUAUCAGCUUGUUGGUGGGGUAAUGGCCUACCAAGGCGACGACGGGUAGCCGACCUGAGAGGGUGACCGGCCACACUGGGACUGAGACACGGCCCAGACUCCUACGGGAGGCAGCAGUGGGGAAUAUUGCACAAUGGGCGGAAGCCUGAUGCAGCGACGCCGCGUGAGGGAUGAAGGCCUUCGGGUUGUAAACCUCUUUCAGCAGGGACGAAGCGUGAGUGACGGUACCUGCAGAAGAAGCACCGGCUAACUACGUGCCAGCAGCCGCGGUAAUACGUAGGGUGCGAGCGUUGUCCGGAAUUACUGGGCGUAAAGAGUUCGUAGGCGGUUUGUCGCGUCGUUUGUGAAAACCCGGGGCUCAACUUCGGGCUUGCAGGCGAUACGGGUAGACUUGAGUGUUUCAGGGGAGACUGGAAUUCCUGGUGUAGCGGUGAAUGCGCAUAUAUCAAGGAGGAACACCGGUGGCGAAGGCGGGUCUCUGGGAACCAACUGACACUGAUGAACGAAACCGUGGGU
Molecule: ribosomal RNA, 588 nt
Filed under: Rhodococcus sp. E46
Lineage: Bacteria; Bacillati; Actinomycetota; Actinomycetes; Mycobacteriales; Nocardiaceae
Description: bacterial SSU rRNA
Rfam family: Bacterial small subunit ribosomal RNA
Source: RNAcentral